Molecule: non-coding RNA, 65 nt
Organism: Salmo salar (Atlantic salmon)
Lineage: Eukaryota; Metazoa; Chordata; Actinopteri; Salmoniformes; Salmonidae
Source: Rfam
UGUAGCUCAAUUGGUAGAGCAUGGCACUUGCAACGCCAGGAUAGUGGGUUCGAUUCCCGGGACCA